ACUCCACCAGCACAGAAAUCAGGAGUUAAGAUCUAUGUAUUGUGAAGCAGCUUUAUUUCCUUCAGACCUUCCAUAGGAGCAUCAUUCAGAAUAAAGCUCCUUCUGUUGGUGUUGUGGUUUCCUGUGCCUAAGUCCCCCAUUUCUUCAUUACACCGGCUGUAUAGGCAUUAGCCUUCUCUAACAGCCUUUCUGCACCAUGUCAUUCAGUAAUGGCUAGUAAUGCAAAGAGAUCUGGAAAAUCUGCUCACUGCGGACCCUGUAAGAGUUCCUGGUUUUCAGACUACACAAAGCAUUAAUGGUCUCCUAAGGAUGGAAGGAUUUCAUUGCAGAUGCUCCCAUGGAAAUUGUUAUCACUUUUCUAAUCUAAUUGUUCUUCCCUACAGUCUUGUACACAGACUUUUUCAGCAAGCACUAGGAUCAACUGAGCAUUUGGUAUACAGCUCAUUUUGCCCAUGCAAGUUAUGCAUUUCACCAAUUGGACAAGGCUAUUUCUCAACUCAGAGAAUCCAAUGUUUCAUCAGGUGCACCUGA
RNAcentral lists this long non-coding RNA (531 nucleotides) under Cyanistes caeruleus (blue tit). Its description in RNAcentral is "lncRNA (ENSCCEG00000011239.1)". The record is from RNAcentral. Lineage: Eukaryota; Metazoa; Chordata; Aves; Passeriformes; Paridae.